Molecule: ribosomal RNA, 448 nt
Filed under: uncultured bacterium
Lineage: Bacteria
Description: bacterial SSU rRNA
Rfam family: Bacterial small subunit ribosomal RNA
Source: RNAcentral
CCUACGGGAGGCUGCAGUGGGGAAUCUUGCGCAAUGGGCGAAAGCCUGACGCAGCCAUGCCGCGUGAAUGAUGAAGGUCUUAGGAUUGUAAAAUUCUUUCACCGGGGACGAUAAUGACGGUACCCGGAGAAGAAGCCCCGGCUAACUUCGUGCCAGCAGCCGCGGUAAUACGAAGGGGGCUAGCGUUGCUCGGAAUUACUGGGCGUAAAGGGAGCGUAGGCGGACAUUUAAGUCAGGGGUGAAAUCCCGGGGCUCAACCUCGGAAUUGCCUUUGAUACUGGGUGUCUUGAGUAUGAGAGAGGUGUGUGGAACUCCGAGUGUAGAGGUGAAAUUCGUAGAUAUUCGGAAGAACACCAGUGGCGAAGGCGACACACUGGCUCAUUACUGACGCUGAGGCUCGAAAGCGUGGGGAGCAAACAGGAUUAGAUACCCUUGUAGUCGAAUUCUU